RNAcentral lists this ribosomal RNA (469 nucleotides) under uncultured bacterium. RNAcentral's name for it is "bacterial SSU rRNA". It matches the Rfam family "Bacterial small subunit ribosomal RNA", at positions 60 to 524 of the family's 1533-position model. The record is from RNAcentral.
AGUCGAGGGGCAGCACGGUAGCAAUACUGGUGGCGACCGGCAAACGGGUGCGGAACACGUACGCAACCUUCCUUUAAGAGAUGGAUAGCCCGAAGAAAUUCGGAUUAAUACAUCGUAAGAUUGUGGGAUGGCAUCAUCCAGCAAUUAAAGAUUUAUUUCGCUUAAAGAUGGGCGUGCGCCUGAUUAGGUAGUUGGUGAGGUAACGGCUCACCAAGCCGACGAUCAGUAACUGGCGUGAGAGCGCGACCAGUCACACGGGCACUGAGACACGGGCCCGACUCCUACGGGAGGCAGCAGUAAGGAAUAUUGGUCAAUGGACGCAAGUCUGAACCAGCCAUGCCGCGUGAAGGAUGAAAGCCCUCUGGGUUGUAAACUUCUUUUAUCUGGGAAGAAACCACCUUUUUCUAAGGGUGUCGACGGUACCAGAGGAAUAAGCACCGGCUAACUCCGUGCCAGCAGCCGCGGUAAU